UCUUUCCGGUCAUACGUUCCUUAUAGGUCGCUUAAUAGGCGAGGUCUUGUAGGAGGCUAGGAUCAUGUCAGGCAUCCACAGGCUUAUCCUGCGUGACAGACGGUACCCGCGGUACCGGUGGUCGUGGUAGCGGCCGUGGGAGGUGUCGGCGGUGGAGGUAACGGCGUGAGAGGACGACGAUAAUGGCAUGGAGGGCUAGCGCAAGGAUGAGCAGCUGCCGCCGCCGUAAGGCUGCUGCGACCUGCCGGGCAAGUGCGGCCGGUGGGCGCGCAAGCUGGCGAGCGACGCCGUCCCGUCGCUCCUGCAGGGCGAGAGGCUGGGGGCGGACCGGGGCGCGCGCGCGGGCGGCAGGGGCCUCGUCUAGCGCGAGCGGCGGAGCCGGCUGGGGUGGAGCGAGACCCAGAGGACCCAGUGCCCGGCGCGGGUCCAGCCGAGGGUGGAGUGGGGAGAGCUGGGGUGGCGGCAGGCGUCGCUCCAGACCAUGCCGCUCGCGGGGCGGAGGCGGCUGUGGCAGCGGGUGGGCGUGGUGCACCGCUCCCCGAGCCGCCUCCAGAUGUCGGUCGAGAUGGGCAUGGGCCCGGAGGAGUUGAUGUGGAGGCCGCAGUAGGUGGUGCAGGCCGAGCACCCGGACUCCGGCAGGUGGGCGAUGAUGAUGGCAACGCCGCUGUCGAGGGAGUUCCCGCCGGAGUCGCUACUCGCGAGAAAGCACUGCGACGGGCGCGGCCGCGGCCUGCGUAUGGGAGCAGCGAAGCGCCACCAGCCCCUGGAACCCGAGUGGCCGUUGAGGUGGAGGUGGCAGCUGGUGGAGCGGUCCUUGCUGGGCAGGUACUAGAACUACCAGCCGCUGUACUGCAUGCGGUUGGUCAUGGCGUGGUGGCCGCCGUCUCCGCAGGGGACGAAGAGGACAAGGAAGGGUCUGCGGGGCUAAGCCCUCAGGAUGGUCGGCGCUACCCUGCCGACCCCUUCUAAGUACCUCGGCGAACGUAGCUCCCACUGUUACUACCACUGGCUUCCCUUGGUGCUCUAGCUCGGCGUCCCCGUGCCGCCUCGGCGCUGGAAGCGGAGGAUGAACCGCGCGAAGCGACACGGCAGCCUCCUCAGACCUAGGUUGUGGUUCAAGAUGAUGAGCAAGUUGCGCCCACCAUAAGUAAAGUAGUACGAACCACGGAUACAGCUGAUGUUAGCGUGUCCUCGAGUCAUGAGCACCAAUCUCUUCCUAGACGUGUUUCAACUAGCUGCUCAGUGUGGUACCCAACAGCGAAGAACCGUGUGCGGAACCAUAUUGUCGAUAAGGAGCGUGAUGGUCCUUAAACUCACAUACUCCGUUCUUUACCUUCCUGAGGAGAUAGUUGUACCCCAGCUGUAACAGAAGAGUCCGGUACAUGUGCGUAUGCUUUCCUACUUGGCCCACAAGUUGAUGUGCAACCUGGGCACGCCCGGCCAAAUGUAAUGCUAGCCCCUACCGCCAUUGUAACUCUUUUAGCUGUAACUAGUACGUCUACUGGGACCUUUCACGGGGAGUGGUCCACUGUUGGUGGGACUUAAACCACCUCAGACGGUAGACUUGAAGUGAAGACCAGGACGGUUCCCCUUUAAAACGACCCUUGCUGUCGGCCUUACCUCGCGUAAGUCCCUUUCGUCAAAGCCGGUGCCAUAAAAUCUCCAACACUUAAGCUGUAUACGGAACACCUGUACCGUGGCCUUGGUCCUACGUAUGCCUCUUGUGUCACACCCUCUAGUCUAGAUAUAUCAUGCCCUUGGGCUGUUCACGGAUAACGUCGGUUCCCCAGACUAAGGUGUUCUGACAGGGAGCCGCCCUACGGGAAGAAGUUGUAAUUCAUCGUGGAGUCCACGACUUGUUCGACGAUUUUUACCGGCCGAGGAAACCUGAUGAUGUACAUACUAAAACUAGUCAUGCCAAAACAUCAGGGUAGGAACCGGAACACUUCGUGGUCCUUUUUAUAUACCCAUCACACCACCGCUCAACUGUCUAUUAUAAGGAGCAUCGUUACCCCAACAUGUACAUUGUUGUAUGACAUAAACUUUCUUUUAUUGUAGCGUUUACAAAAAACCGCCG
Molecule: ribosomal RNA, 2077 nt
Filed under: Triticum aestivum (bread wheat)
Lineage: Eukaryota; Viridiplantae; Streptophyta; Magnoliopsida; Poales; Poaceae
Description: partial small subunit ribosomal RNA
Source: RNAcentral